RNAcentral lists this long non-coding RNA (255 nucleotides) under Gallus gallus (chicken). Lineage: Eukaryota; Metazoa; Chordata; Aves; Galliformes; Phasianidae. The record is from RNAcentral.
GGGGUCAAUGAGCAAUGCAGUCUCCCUAUAAGUAACAAGGCCCCAGUUCUCCAUGGCACCAGCAGCAAAAUCUGCAAUAGCUAUGAGAUCAAUUUUAGGAAGAGGGUAAGGAACAUUGAAGUAGUCCUUAUAAAAAGGCAGAGUUUUAGCAGCAACCUCUAAUGCAAACUUUCCUUGCUCAGCUUUGCCCACAGGAGUGUAAACACGCACUAAGACACCAUCUAGGGACCUGGUCUCUACAAAGUCAUAUUCUCC